This 253-nucleotide ribosomal RNA is filed under the name uncultured bacterium. RNAcentral's name for it is "partial 16S ribosomal RNA". It matches the Rfam family "Bacterial small subunit ribosomal RNA", at positions 524 to 776 of the family's 1533-position model. The record is from RNAcentral.
UACGGGGGGGGCAAGCGUUGUUCGGAAUUACUGGGCGUAAAGGGCUCGUAGGCGGCCAACUAAGUCAGACGUGAAAUCCCUCGGCUUAACCGGGGAACUGCAUCUGAUACUGGAUGGCUUGAGAUUGGGAGAGGGAUGCGGAAUUCCAGGUGUAGCGGUGAAAUGCGUAGAUAUUCGCAAGAACACCAGUGGCGAAGGCGGCUCACUGGCCCGGUACUGACGCUGAGGUGCGAAAGCGUGGGGAGCAAACAGG